ACAUUAUGAGGGUGAACCAAUAUUAUUUUACUAUCUAGAUCCGUGUUUCGGUCAAUGUGAUCGCGACAGCCAGACCUGCGAGGAGACUAGUGGAGGAUUUCAAUGUCAAUGCCGCCCUGGGUAUUAUCUUUCAGGUGACACUUGCGUGGAAUCUUCGACUUUUCUUGCGACCAUGGAGAUAGAAACAGUCAACGGCACGUCAGUAGAAUUCUCUGAUGACCUUACGAACAGGGAGAGUGAGAGUUUUAUCAUGUUGGAAUCAGAGAUAUGUAACAUGGUUGAUGGCAUAUACGCUGAUACGUUGACCGAUUACUAUGGAUGCACCGUCAUCAAGUUCAGUUCUGGUAGUAUCAUCGCAGACAUCAAUCUCCUAUUCGAUCCCGAGACCAAUGUAACAGACCAAAUACUACUAGAGGAACUUGAGAAUGAGAUAGAAAGAACUGGUGGUAACCUGUCUGACGGGUCAUCAGUCUUCACUUUG
Molecule: long non-coding RNA, 481 nt
Organism: Strongylocentrotus purpuratus (purple sea urchin)
Lineage: Eukaryota; Metazoa; Echinodermata; Echinoidea; Camarodonta; Strongylocentrotidae
Exons: 3
Source: RefSeq, a predicted model, not a curated record